GAUGAACGCUGGCGGCGUGCUUAACACAUGCAAGUCGAACGGAAAGGCUCCUGCUUGCCGGGGUACUCGAGUGGCGAACGGGUGAGUAACACGUGGGUGAUCUGCCCUGCACUUCGGGAUAAGCCUGGGAAACUGGGUCUAAUACCGGAUAGGACCACAUUUUGGAUGGUGUGGUGGAAAGUUUUUCGGUGUGGGAUGAGCUCGCGGCCUAUCAGCUUGUUGGUGGGGUAAUGGCCUACCAAGGCGUCGACGGGUAGCCGGCCUGAGAGGGUGUACGGCCACAUUGGGACUGAGAUACGGCCCAGACUCCUACGGGAGGCAGCAGUGGGGAAUAUUGCACAAUGGGCGCAAGCCUGAUGCAGCGACGCCGCGUGGGGGAUGACGGCCUUCGGGUUGUAAACUCCUUUCGCUAGGGACGAAGCGUUUUUGUGACGGUACCUGGAGAAGAAGCACCGGCGAACUACGU
RNAcentral lists this ribosomal RNA (466 nucleotides) under uncultured bacterium. RNAcentral describes it as "partial 16S ribosomal RNA". It matches the Rfam family "Bacterial small subunit ribosomal RNA", at positions 28 to 506 of the family's 1533-position model. The record is from RNAcentral.